This 351-nucleotide long non-coding RNA is filed under the name Physcomitrium patens. RNAcentral's name for it is "long non-coding RNA (PPAT_LNC002122)". The record is from RNAcentral. Lineage: Eukaryota; Viridiplantae; Streptophyta; Bryopsida; Funariales; Funariaceae.
GAUCCUCAGACAUUGAAUCAAAUAAUUGACUUUACUAUAAAAUGUGACAAUUGACUUUUUGAGUUUCAAUCUAAGAAUCACGUAAGAGAACCUCCACAUUAUUAUAAUUCAAUGACAACACCAAUAACUUUUCAAUCUAAAUAUUUAGAAGUAAAAGACAUACAAAUUAAUGUAGUACAUUUUAAGCCUCUUAUUAAAUAAGAAAAUAUUUGUUGUCAUUAAAAAAGAAUAUAUUUAUAUUAUAGAAAAGCUAAGCACAUUUCCCAAUAUUGUUUAAAAAAACAACACAACUACAAAAUGAAGAAUUCAAUUGCCAAAGAUGAAAAAAUAUCACAAAUUUUUUUUUUCUAG